GACGAACGCUGGCGGCGUGCCUAAUACAUGCAAGUAGAACGCUGAAGGAGGAGCUUGCUUCUCCGGAUGAGUUGCGAACGGGUGAGUAACGCGUAGGUAACCUGCCUGGUAGCGGGGGAUAACUAUUGGAAACGAUAGCUAAUACCGCAUAACAGUAGAUGUUGCAUGACAUUUGCUUAAAAGGUGCAAUUGCAUCACUACCAGAUGGACCUGCGUUGUAUUAGCUAGUUGGUGAGGUAACGGCUCACCAAGGCGACGAUACAUAGCCGACCUGAGAGGGUGAUCGGCCACACUGGGACUGAGACACGGCCCAGACUCCUACGGGAGGCAGCAGUAGGGAAUCUUCGGCAAUGGACGGAAGUCUGACCGAGCAACGCCGCGUGAGUGAAGAAGGUUUGCGGAUCGUAAAGCUCUGUUGUAAGAGAAGAACGAGUGUGAGAGUGGAAAGUUCACACUGUGACGGUAUCUUACCAGAAAGGGACGGCUAACUACGUG
RNAcentral lists this ribosomal RNA (495 nucleotides) under uncultured bacterium. RNAcentral describes it as "partial 16S ribosomal RNA". It matches the Rfam family "Bacterial small subunit ribosomal RNA", at positions 28 to 507 of the family's 1533-position model. The record is from RNAcentral.